UACUUAGUUAGUUGGUGAUGACUGAGUGUGGCUAUGGAUGCCACGUGCACCCCCCAUGCAUGCUUAUCAACAAAGUUACAUGUGGGCAUUUCUUUAUUUUACUUGUCACUCUCUAUUUCUCUGGAGCCGUACGCAAGGAGGAGGAGAACCCAGUUAGAGCGCGUGUGUCGCCGACGUCGCGCCGCGGUACCGUUUGAGCGUGUGUUCGUCGUCGUAGCAUCGCGAGGAGGCCGGGCGAGGGUGCGUUUACGCCGUUCUCGACGUCGCACAGGAUUGGAAUUAGCUUUUGAGGUGGGUUUAUCAUCAGAUUUCUACUCCUAUAGUCCCGUUGGUCGACAUGUAUAAUUUGUGUUAUACGUUAUUAUUGUUUUAGCUCAAAUUCAUAGGUAUGCAUGUUUUUAGACAUAUGAACUGAAUUUGGAGCAUGUUAUUAAUUGUUAGUAAUUAUACAUGUUGGAUUUGGAUAAGACAUAGGAGAAAACCAACGUUCGGGACUUGUCAUAUGUAUAAAUUAUCUGAUUUAGCUCUAUGAGCCGUUGUAUUUUGUAUUGUCGCAGUAUCCUUUUGGUGAGUACCCCAGAUAGUUCAGAUUACUGUUACGCUCGUGCUGGAAUGCCGAGCCGAUUUUUACAGUAGUGUUUAGACUGUUCCGGACUAGUGGGUGCCGUCACGAUUGACGGUGGACCCCGAAUUAUCGUUUUGGUAUCAGAUUGUGCCGAGAGCACGUGACUAGUUGGUUGGUAGUUCAGUUGGACAUGUUUUCUUGACUUUAGCCUGUGAGAGCCUAAUUGAGCUCGGCAGAGAUACGCUUGCAUACUCGGUUGAGUCGCGCCCACGAGUGCCCCUCCGGAGUCUGGCUUUGUGCUUUCGCAUUGAUGUCGCUGAUUAUAUUUGCUACCCACGGACUACUUAGUAUAGAGGUAGCGUGGCUUAGACAAGCGGGACGAGUGCGUUCACAGUCCCUGGGACGGGGUACGGUUACAGUCCCUAAUGAGAUUGGGUCAGAAUUGACAGUUGCUACAGUUGGAUAGUGUAGGGUAUGAUAGUGUAGUGGCAUAUAGCUGUAAAUUUUUUUCUAGCUUUACCUACUAGCUUUGUUUCCUACUGUAGUCAUAGUGGGUGGACCGAUGAUGUUGAAGGCAGUACCCACUGAGGACUACUUAAUUUUACAGUAGUUCUCACGCCCAGUUGUUCCUUUUUAUUUUACAGAGCCAUCGUCGUCGGCUGUUGCUGAUCCUGAUCGUGAUAAGGGCGUCGCGAGUUAGAGCCCUACCAGACGAGUUAGAGCUAGUGGAGUACCAGCUAUAGGUAGUUGUAGUUUUUGGUUCAUCACAUACUAAUGUUAUACCUCGCUGGAGCGAGUGUUUUUAUACCAGGAUACUGUGUAUGUAUUAAUCCAUUUUUAUUAUAUGCUCAUGUUUCUUUUCCCUAGCAGCUCUAUACUACUGGUUGUAAUGUUGUAUUAUUACUGGUACAGUUACAACUUCGCUUCGUAUACAGGAAAAAUUUCUUUGUAUACGGCGGAUUUGUUGGCGUGCCCGAGGAACGUGAUAUCCGGGGCGUGACAACCAUCUUAUAAAAUAAAAAAGUCACAAGAGGUACCGUGUGAACUGUGAUGACAAAAUGACUAUUUUGCCCCUUACCAUUUUCGUCUCCUCCCUCAUCUUACUCAUCCACCGCCUCGAUCGGCCGCGGUUCCUCUCCAUUUUGUUUUUCACCAG
This 1721-nucleotide long non-coding RNA is filed under the name Ananas comosus (pineapple). RNAcentral's name for it is "long non-coding RNA (ACOM_LNC003977)". Lineage: Eukaryota; Viridiplantae; Streptophyta; Magnoliopsida; Poales; Bromeliaceae. The record is from RNAcentral.